GUCACUGCUCUAGGCGUAGGGAUAUGAGCGCCAUCUUGUAUGGCCAUAAACAUAACCGAGGAAACGACAGUCUCACAGAUAUUAUGAAUUUUUUUAAUCUAAGUUACUUAAAAUUAAUUAGCAGUGGUUCGAACUUGCUGCGUUAUUGGAUGUAAUGUCCGAUCACACGACCGAAACGGUAAAACGAUGGAAAACGGACUUUUGUUUCACUGUUUUUCUGCCUGUAAACAACGUGAGGAGGCUAAACUGUCGGAGCUAAACUGUCGGAGCUAACGAAAAGGAGAGGAAUGUCCUGGUAUCAGCGGUGAGACGUCCUGAUAUCACGUUCUCCAACAUCCCAAGAUAUCUACAAGUUUGCUCCAGACAUGUCCAUUCUGGUAAACGCCACGACAUCGGACCGACAUGGGCGUAAAUUAAAGAGGCGAUUCAGCAAAACCAUGGAGGAUCAACAAGUGGAUCAGCAAGUUACAGAGACUGUGUUUUCAUGAUUUACCCCAGAAGAGGGAAAUCAUGAAAACACAGCAGCGGAGGCUGUAGAAGAGGAGCGAGUUGGAGAGGCUGAGGAGGAAACACCAGGAGAGAAGCUCAGCAAGGCUGCAGACUGAAGAGGAACAGGAACCAUUUGGGUUGAAAUGUGUGUUCAGUUGGAAGUGGCUGUUUUCUCUCAUUUAAUCGUUUAAUGUGGUAAAACAUUCAUGAAACGUUUGAUUCAAGUUGCAGGUAAACAGGUGAUGAAGUGAAUCACAUUUCAAGUAAAAAUGUGAUAUCUAAAAUGUUUCAAGUAAUAAACAUAGGUGUAAUGAAAGAUUAUAUUUUAAAUAAACAUUUUAUGUGAUUAAAGUAAACAAUUAUAUUCAAUUUUGCGGUAAAAAUUUAAUGUAACAAUCAAACCAGAUGAAAGAGCCCAUCUUUAAACAUUUAAUGUGUCAUUAAACAGGUCAGUGUAAACAAUAAAGGUGACAAGUAAAUGUUAUGAAAUAAA
Long non-coding RNA from Xiphophorus couchianus (Monterrey platyfish), 982 nucleotides. RefSeq lists it as uncharacterized. The record is from RefSeq and is a predicted model, not a curated record. The transcript has 2 exons. Lineage: Eukaryota; Metazoa; Chordata; Actinopteri; Cyprinodontiformes; Poeciliidae.